CGCCCGUCACACCAUGGGAGCUGGUAAUGCCCGAAGUCGGUUUUGUUAACUACGGAGACAACUGCCUAAGGCAGGGCCGGUGACUGGGGUGAAGUCGUAACAAGGUAUCCCUACGAGAACGUGGGGAUGGAUUACCUCCUUUCUACGGAGUACAUUAAGUUACAAUUCAUUUUAGUAACAAUUACCUAUUUUACAUGGUUAUCAAUUAUUUAAUUUUAACGUCAUGUGUCGCAUGAUAACCCGACAGUAUAUCUAGUUUUGAGAGAAUUUCUCUCUUUGUUCUUUGAAAACUAAAUAGUAAAGAUAAAUUAAUAUAACAACGACAUCAAAAAAAUAAAUUAGUCAAUUUGUUUUGUGAUACCGAGUAAUUAUUAUUAAAUAUAAUAAUUUAUUAAAAUGUCUUUGAAUACAUCAACAACAAUAGGAAAAUAUUGAUCUUUUAAAUAAGUAAGAGCUUGUGGUGGAUGCCUUGGGUCUGGAAGUCGAUGAAGGACGUGAUUACCUGCGAUAAGCCUCGUGGAGCUGGAUAUAAGCUACGAUACGGGGAUUUCCGAAUGGGGAAACCUAGUUAGAGUAAUUUCUAACUGCAUCAAGAUGAAUACAUAGUCUUGAUAGCGAGACACGUUGUGAACUGAAACAUCUUAGUAGCAACAGGAAGAGAAAAUAAAUAAUGAUUCCAUCAGUAGCGGCGAGCGAACGUGGAAGAGCCCAAACCAUCUAUAUGAUGGGGUUGUAGGACUAUCUACACGAAGUUACAAAUUCUUGUUAUAGCAGAAAAAGUUGGGAAACUUUAGCAUAGAGGGUGAUACUCCCGUAUGCAAAAUGGCAAGAACUUCUGAUAGUAUCCUGAGUAGGGCGGGGCACGUGAAACCCUGUCUGAAUCUGCCGGGACCAUCCGGUAAGGCUAAAUACUAACCAGACACCGAUAGUGAACUA
Molecule: small RNA, 936 nt
Filed under: Mycoplasmopsis edwardii
Lineage: Bacteria; Bacillati; Mycoplasmatota; Mycoplasmoidales; Metamycoplasmataceae
Description: bacterial LSU rRNA
Rfam family: Bacterial large subunit ribosomal RNA (bases 438-936)
Source: RNAcentral